ACGAACGCUGGCGGCGUGCUUAACACAUGCAAGUCGUACGGUAAGGCCCUUUCGGGGGUACACGAGUGGCGACCGGGUGAGUAACACGUGAGUAACCUGCCCACAACUUUGGGAUAACGCUAGGAAACUGGUGCUAAUACUGGAUAUGUGCUCCUGCUGCAUGGUGGGGGUUGGAAAGCUCCGGCGGUUGUGGAUGGACUCGCGGCCUAUCAGCUUGUUGGUGGGGUAGUGGCCUACCAAGGCGGCGACGGGUAGCCGGCCUGAGAGGGUGACCGGCCACAUUGGGACUGAGAUACGGCCCAGACUCCUACGGGAGGCAGCAGUGGGGAAUAUUGCACAAUGGGCGCAAGCCUGAUGCAGCAACGCCGCGUGCGGGAUGACGGCCUUCGGGUUGUAAACCGCUUUCAGCAGGGACGAAGCUUUUUGUGACGGUACCUGCAGAAGAAGCACCGGCUAACUACGUG
This 464-nucleotide ribosomal RNA is filed under the name uncultured bacterium. RNAcentral's name for it is "partial 16S ribosomal RNA". It matches the Rfam family "Bacterial small subunit ribosomal RNA", at positions 29 to 507 of the family's 1533-position model. The record is from RNAcentral.